AAUCAAUUCCAACUACAAAAUUGAACAUAAAACGAUUCAGCUGAGAAUCACCAUAGCAAACAAGCAAGAGAGAUAGGACUCAUUUAUCACAAAAAAGAAAUGAGCUCUGAAGAAGCAAAGUGAAGCAUCAAUGGAGCUCUGAUGGCCAUGAAACCGAAAACCGACGACCCGAAGCUUUCUCCCGAGUCCACCACUUCACCUCCCAAGAAAGUCAUCAUCAAAAGCGCCGACAUGAAGGAAGAACAGCAAAAAGAAGCUGUCAAUAUAGCCAUCUCCGCAUUUGAGAAGAACAAUGUUGAGAAAUAUGUAGCAGAGCGCAUAAAGAAGGAAUUCGAUAAGAGACACGGACCUACUUGGCAUUGCAUCAUUGGUCGCAAUUUUGGUAACCCAAUUUUCAAUUUGAUCUACAAAUUUCAAUUUCAAUAUUAAGUGUUUUCUGCAAUUUAAUUUCUUUUUAAGUGACUUUGAAUGUACACUAGCUUUCAUAGAUGUUGGUUACUUAGUCGGAAUUGGAUUGUAAUGUUGUUCUAGCUUUUUCAUGGAAUUUCUGGGUUAAGAUCAUCAAGUAUUUUUGGUUAGAUUGAUUGCUUUUAGAUGAAAGGCUCAAACUUUAUCCGGGUUUUCGAUGAAGGAUUAGUAACUUUAUAGGUUCGAUCAAGCGUUUUCAGCUUUACUGAUGACACUUUAAACAAUUUCUUAAUGUUAAUCCGUACGCAGUUCAUGCCGUUUUUGUAGUUUGUGAUUGUAUUUCAGUAGAAGGAGUUUCGUAUCAGUGUGAGUAUGUCCGUUAGCUGUGCUUGGAUUUCUUUAGAUAGGCUAUUUGAUACCUCCAACGGUCGUGUGAUGACAGGAUUAGACUUCAAUUUCCGAUUGCAUAUCCGAUGGGAUAUAUGUUUUUCUAUUGAAUAAGAAAGUUGUUAGAGCUUGGAACUUUCAGGUUUUAGAAGUCUCGAGCUCAAAACUUCGGGUUUGAGAAACGGAGGUGAAAUGCAUAUUGCAUGCGUAUGAAGCAUAUAACAAUACACUAUUAGAGAAUUUCAAGAACUUUGCUCAUUUGAUGUCAAUAUGAUUUAUAUCGGCAUUCACUCUCUUUAUUGUAUACUUUUAUUACCUCUUGAUAUCGACCAUCGUUGUUCGCUAAGGCCUUGGGGUUUGUUGGUAGUUUAACCGAGUUAUUCUCUCUUGAGCAUGACCCUCUAGCAUACAUGAGACAAUUGUAGUCUGCAAUGCCAGUUGGUGAACUCGUGAACUGCCGAUACUAUAAGGUUCAUACGUAACUCAUGAGACGAACCACUUUGUUUAUUUCUACUUAGAUCAGAAAGCAGUUUUGCUCUUCAAAUCUGGUUAAAUCAUGCUGUUAUGUUGACGAAAGAGUGGCAUUGGUCGUAUAAUCGCUAGAUGAAAAGCCUUUUACUUAUACUGGUUACGGUUUUAGCAACUGUAGCCUAACUUGUAUAUUUCAUUACAUCUAAGUCGGGUUUGAAUCAUUGUUCUCAAAUCUAGUAUUUCGCUUACUGGUUUCA
Gossypium raimondii (Peruvian cotton) is the source of this 1523-nucleotide RNA transcript. RefSeq lists it as uncharacterized. The record is from RefSeq and is a predicted model, not a curated record. NCBI's taxonomy places the organism in Eukaryota, Viridiplantae, Streptophyta, Magnoliopsida, Malvales, Malvaceae. The transcript has 3 exons.